This 523-nucleotide ribosomal RNA is filed under the name Eridontomerus fulviventris. RNAcentral's name for it is "LSU rRNA". It matches the Rfam family "Eukaryotic large subunit ribosomal RNA", at positions 674 to 1141 of the family's 3401-position model. Lineage: Eukaryota; Metazoa; Arthropoda; Insecta; Hymenoptera; Torymidae. The record is from RNAcentral.
UCUAACAUGUGCGCGAGUCAUUGGGAUUUUUUUAAACCUAAAGGCGCAAUGAAAGUGAAGGUCGUUCCUUAGCGUCGACCGAGGGAGGAUGGCUCGCGUCACGAUGCGAGCCCGCACUCCCGGGGCGUCUCGUGCUCAUUGCGAGCAGAGGCGCACCCAGAGCGUACACGUUGGGACCCGAAAGAUGGUGAACUAUGCCUGGUCAGGACGAAGUCAGGGGAAACCCUGAUGGAGGUCCGUAGCGAUUCUGACGUGCAAAUCGAUCGUCGGAACUGGGUAUAGGGGCGAAAGACUAAUCGAACCAUCUAGUAGCUGGUUCCCUCCGAAGUUUCCCUCAGGAUAGCUGGCACUCGCUUGAGCGAGUCUCAUCUGGUAAAGCGAAUGAUUAGAGGCCUUGGGGCCGAAACGACCUCAACCUAUUCUCAAACUUUAAAUGGGUGAGAUCUCUGGCUUGCUUGAACGCUGANAGCCACGAGAGCAAAUUAAUGCGAUGGAUCAGAGUGCCAAGUGGGCCAAUUUUGGU